UAAGGAAUAUUGCGCAAUGGGCGACAGCCUGACGCAGCGACGCCGCGUGGGGGAUGAAGGUCUUCGGAUUGUAAACCCCUUUCGGCAGGGAAGAUGGAACGGGUAACCGUUCGGACGGUACCUGCAGAAGCAGCCACGGCUAACUUCGUGCCAGCAGCCGCGGUAAUACGAAGGUGGCAAGCGUUGUUCGGAUUUACUGGGCGUACAGGGAGCGUAGGCGGUUGGGUAAGCCCUCCGUGAAAUCUCCGGGCCUAACCCGGAAAGUGCGGAGGGGACUGCUCGGCUAGAGGAUGGGAGAGGAGCGCGGAAUUCCCGGUGUAGCGGUGAAAUGCGUAGAGAUCGGGAGGAAGGCCGGUGGCGAAGGCGGCGCUCUGGAACAUUUCUGACGCUGAGGCUCGAAAGCGUGGGGAGCAAACAGGAUUAGAUACCCUAGUAGUCCCUGAGCGGGCUGGCAAGGCGCAU
RNAcentral lists this ribosomal RNA (462 nucleotides) under uncultured bacterium. RNAcentral describes it as "bacterial SSU rRNA". It matches the Rfam family "Bacterial small subunit ribosomal RNA", at positions 355 to 825 of the family's 1533-position model. The record is from RNAcentral.